Molecule: ribosomal RNA, 202 nt
Filed under: uncultured bacterium
Lineage: Bacteria
Description: partial 16S ribosomal RNA
Rfam family: Bacterial small subunit ribosomal RNA
Source: RNAcentral
UACGUAGGGCGCGAGCGUUUGUCCGGAUUAUUGGGCGUAAGAGCUCGUAGGCGGCUUGUCGCGUCGAAUGUGAAAUCUCAGGCUCAACUCUGACAUUGCAUUCGAUACGGGCAGGCUCGAGUUCGGUAGGGAGACUGGAUUCCUGGUGUAGCGGUGAAAUGCGCAGAUAUCAGGAGGAACACCGGUGGCGAAGGCGGGUCGC